Long non-coding RNA from Medicago truncatula (barrel medic), 1288 nucleotides. RefSeq lists it as uncharacterized. The record is from RefSeq and is a predicted model, not a curated record. Lineage: Eukaryota; Viridiplantae; Streptophyta; Magnoliopsida; Fabales; Fabaceae. The transcript is spliced from 2 exons.
CUUUAUACACUAUAAAAUGAAUAAAUCAUAUUCUAUUUAUUACAUGCAAAGACAUAAUAUAUGGCUAGAACUCUCCAAUUCGUGUAUUAUAUGAUUUUAUGUUUCUCUGUAUUUCUUUUUGCAAAAAAUAUUGAUGCACUCCACUGCAACAAUGACAAUGAAUGUCCACCAAGUACUUGGAAGCCCUUUGUAAGGUGCAAAAUGAACCGAUGUAUAUAUUCUAGAGUGCAGCCACCUUGGGCUUGUUGAGUACGAGCCCAAACAGAGUACAAUUACGCCAUACAAGGAAGAAUAGUCCCUUACGCUAGGAAAAACUAUGCAAUAUACAUUUUACUAUAAUAUUCCACAGUAUUUUUUUGUCAAUUAAUCUAGCGUUUGAAGCCCACACAUAAAUAUGAAGAAAUGGAGGUGUUUGGAGUUUGAACUCCGACCCCUACAUAAAUUAUGCAAUGCCCCUGCAUAUUGUAAGGAUAUCCAAUAAUUGUAUAUUUUUAUUUAUUAUUGUUUUUAUAAUUUAAAGGACCUUGCAAUUAUGGCUUUGUAUUGUAUGAAGGUGAGAAAAACACAAGACAGAGGGGGGGUUGAAUUGUUCGGAGUCUGAUAGAGUUCAAAUUCAAGAACAAAGUUCAGAGUCUAAUGUAGCGGAUAAAGUAAAGAUAGAGAGAGAAGACAAAGACACAAAUCAAUUAUACAGGUUCCUUCCACAAUCCGGAAGUAGUCUUGUCUCCCUUGCACUUCCAAGGAGAGUUCACUAAAAUCAAUAUCUGAUUAAAAAUGCUCAAGAACACAAGCAAGAUACUUCCAAAUACUGAAGCACACAAGCAAGAUAUUUCCUAUGCUUAAGCACAAAUGCAAGAGACUUCUAAACAAACACAAUUACAUAGAAAAAUGUUUGAGGUUCAACAUAUGAUAUAUAAUCAGUGGUGUUCACAAUACAAAUCGAAUAAGACUCAAUCUUCAAGUCUUCACUCCUUUAUAUAGAGGUGUGAGAGAUACGUUGAUGAUUGCCAGCACAUCAAAAAGAGUCGUUGUUGAAGCUUGAUCAUCACCAAUGAUCUGUUGCUUAAUUUAGUUAUUGUCCUUGGAGGGAAUAAUUUGAAACUCAUUCCUUGUUUGGAGAAUAACCAGCAUAGACACAACUGUAGCAGUACUAUUGCAACCAAGGUAGUGGAGUAGUGGUUGUACAAUUGUAUUAUGUCCUUUUCCUGCGCUCUUCAGAGGAUAAGCAUCAAAUGCCUUAUAAUUCAUCUAAAAUAGUCGUUGCUCUAGGCUUCUAUUCCUUCUGCAA